Molecule: ribosomal RNA, 274 nt
Filed under: uncultured bacterium
Lineage: Bacteria
Description: partial 16S ribosomal RNA
Rfam family: Bacterial small subunit ribosomal RNA
Source: RNAcentral
AUCCGGAGGGUGCAAGCGUUACUCGGAAUCACUGGGCGUAAAGCGCGCGCAGGCGGUCUUUUAAGUUGGAUGUGAAAGCCUACGGCUCAACCGUAGAACUGCAUCCAAAACUAUUAGACUAGAGUGUGGGAGAGGAAGAUGGAAUUAGUUGUGUAGGGGUAAAAUCCGUAGAGAUAACUAGGAAUACCAAAAGCGAAGGCAAUCUUCUGGAACACUACUGACGCUGAGGCGCGAAAGCGUGGGGAGCAAACAGGAUUAGAUACCCGAGUAGUCC